This 358-nucleotide unclassified non-coding RNA is filed under the name soil metagenome. RNAcentral's name for it is "partial contains 5.8S ribosomal RNA, internal transcribed spacer 2, and large subunit ribosomal RNA". The stretch from base 1 to 120 matches the Rfam family "5.8S ribosomal RNA", at positions 35 to 154 of the family's 154-position model. The record is from RNAcentral.
GAUGAAGAACGCAGCGAAAUGCGAUAAGUAAUGUAAAUUGCAGAAUUCAGUGAAUCAUCGAAUCUUUGAACGCACAUUGCGCCCGUCAGUAUUCUGGCGGGCAUGCCUGUUCGAGCGUCAUUACGCCCCUCAAGUCCCCUGUGGACUUGGUGUUGGGGAUCGGCGAGGCUGGUUUUCCAGCACAGCCGUCCCUUAAAUUAAUUGGCGGUCUCGCCGUGGCCCUCCUCUGCGCAGUAGUAAAACACUCGCAACAGGAGCCCGGCGCGGUCCACUGCCGUAAAACCCCCCAACUUUUUAUAGUUGACCUCGAAUCAGGUAGGACUACCCGCUGAACUUAAGCAUAUCAAUAAGCGGAGGA